UUAUUUUUUAGCAAAAUAUUUGAUCAAGUUCUCUUCAGGUUUGUUAAAUAUAUUUUCUGUUAUUUCUGAUUAAACCUACACAUCACUACCUAUAUAAUAAGACAUCUAUAUAAAGUUUUCGGAAAUAAAUAUGGUUUGAUAUUUAUCGUUAUGCUUCAGUGUUAAAAAUUAGAAUAUUCAAAAAAAAUUCUUUAUAUUUUUCAAUAUACUUUAAAAUUACUAAUAUUUUUAAAGUAAAUAUGUUCUACUCUCUACAAAAUAACUUAUAGAAUAAAUUUUAAAUGAUUAUAAUAAAUCUACCCACUGCAUCGCGCGGGUCACUACACUAGUUGAAAAUAAAAUUAUCUGUUACUUUUUGUGGCAAUAUUACCUUCGCAUUUAUAUCAUAUUUUCUAUCUACGUGUUUCUUAAAUAUUUCCUUCUCACACGUAAUAUCCGCACNAUCUGUUACUUUUUGUGGCAAUAUUACCUUCGCAUUUAUAUCAUAUUUUCUAUCUACGUGUUUCUUAAAUAUUUCCUUCUCACACGUAAUAUCCGCACCCAUUAAUUCUUUCGCAACAUAAUAUCCGUGAAUUUCUCAAAUAUCUCAUUAAUCCACCUACUAUUCAACCAAUCAUUUCAAAUAAUUAACUAAGUAAUAAUUUAUUCCCAAAUAAAGAUAAAUAUUUUUCUUAUAACGCGUAAUAUCCGCACCCGCCAAUUCUUUUGCAACGUAAUAUCCGUGAAUUUCUCAAAUACUCAUUAAUCCACCUACCAUUUGAAUUUAAUAAUUAUAGGUGACUUUGAAAUAAAAUCUCCUUCAUUCAUUAUAGAUGAUUUUUAAUAAUAUUGUAAAAGAUACUAUUUCCUUAAAAAUUUUAAUUUUAUUUUUUCUAAAAUAGUCAUAUUCCCUAAAGUAGUAAUAUCCGCACAACAUAAUUAUAGGUGACUUUGAAAUAAAAUUUUCUUCAUUAUAGAUGAUUUUUAAUAAUAUUGUAAAAGAUACUAUUUCCUUAAAAAAUUUAAUUUUAUUUUUCCUAAAAUAGUCAUAUUCCCUAAAGUAGUAAUAUCCGCACAAUAUCCGUGAAUUUCUCAAAUAUCUCAUUAAUCCACCUACCAUUUGAAUUUAAUAAUUAUAGGUGACUUUGAAAUAAAAUCUCCUUCAUUCAUUAUAGAUGAUUUUUAAUAAUAUUGUAAAAGAUACUAUUUCCUUAAAAAAUUU
This 1201-nucleotide long non-coding RNA is filed under the name Ananas comosus (pineapple). RNAcentral's name for it is "long non-coding RNA (ACOM_LNC030426)". Lineage: Eukaryota; Viridiplantae; Streptophyta; Magnoliopsida; Poales; Bromeliaceae. The record is from RNAcentral.